UACGUAGGGGGCAAGCGUUGUCCGGAUUUAUUGGGCGUAAAGAGCGUGUAGGCGGCCAAGCAGGUCCGCUGUGAGAACUCGAGGCUCAACCUCGAGACGUCGGUUGAAACCGUACGGCUAGAGUCCGGAAGAGGAGAGUGGAAUUCCCGGUGUAGCGGUGAAAUGCGCAGAUAUCGGGAAGAACACCCGUGGCGAAGGCGGCUCUCUGGGACGGUACUGACGCUGAGACGCGAAAGCGUGGGGAGCGAACAGG
RNAcentral lists this ribosomal RNA (253 nucleotides) under uncultured bacterium. RNAcentral describes it as "partial 16S ribosomal RNA". It matches the Rfam family "Bacterial small subunit ribosomal RNA", at positions 524 to 776 of the family's 1533-position model. The record is from RNAcentral.